Molecule: ribosomal RNA, 492 nt
Filed under: uncultured bacterium
Lineage: Bacteria
Description: partial 16S ribosomal RNA
Rfam family: Bacterial small subunit ribosomal RNA
Source: RNAcentral
AGUGAACGCUGGCGGUAGGCCUAACACAUGCAAGUCGAACGGCAGCACAGUAAGAGCUUGCUCUUACGGGUGGCGAGUGGCGGACGGGUGAGGCAUACAUCGGAAUCUACUUUUUCGUGGGGGAUAACGUAGGGAAACUUACGCUAAUACCGCAUACGACCUACGGGUGAAAGCAGGGGAUAUUCGGACCUUGCGCGAUUGAAUGAGCCGAUGUCGGAUUAGCUAGUUGGCGGGGUAAAGGCCCACCAAGGCGACGAUCCGUAGCUGGUCUGAGAGGAUGAUCAGCCACACUGGAACUGAGACACGGUCCAGACUCCUACGGGAGGCAGCAGUGGGGAAUAUUGGACAAUGGGCGCAAGCCUGAUCCAGCCAUACCGCGUGGGUGAAGAAGGCCUUCGGGUUGUAAAGCCCUUUUGUUGGGAAAGAAAAGCAGCAGGUUAAUACCCCGCUGUUCUGACGGUACCCAAAGAAUAAGCACCGGCUAACUUCGUG